GGCCUCGUAGCUCAGCUGGUAGAGCAUACGCGUACAAAGCGUAGGCGGCGUCCAUGCGUGGGUUCGAAUCCCACCGAGGCUA
Echinostoma caproni is the source of this 82-nucleotide non-coding RNA. Lineage: Eukaryota; Metazoa; Platyhelminthes; Trematoda; Plagiorchiida; Echinostomatidae. The record is from Rfam.